GACGAACGCUGGCGGCGUGCUUAACACAUGCAAGUCGAACGCUGAAGCUUGGUUCUUGCUCUGUGUGGAUGUGUGGCGAACGUGCGAGUAAUACGUGUGUAACCUGCCCUUUUCUCUGGUAUAUUCCUGGGACACUGGGUCUAAUACUGUAUACUCCCUUUCUCCGCUUGGUUGUGUGUGGAUUUUGUUUUGCUGGUUUUGGAUUGGCUCACUGCCUAUCAGUUUGUUUGUGGGGUAAUGGCUCACCAAGGCGACGACGGGUAGCCGGACUGAGAGGGUGACCGGCCACACUGGGACUGAGACACGGCCCAGACUCCAACGGGAGGCAGCAGUGGGGAAUAUUGCACAAUGGGCGGAAGCCUGAUGCAGCGAAGCCGCGUGAGGGAUGACGGCCUUCGGGUUGUAAACCUAUUUCAGCAGGGAAGAAGAGAAAGUGACGGUACGGGAAGAAGAAGCGCCGGCUAACUACGUG
RNAcentral lists this ribosomal RNA (472 nucleotides) under uncultured bacterium. Its description in RNAcentral is "partial 16S ribosomal RNA". It matches the Rfam family "Bacterial small subunit ribosomal RNA", at positions 28 to 507 of the family's 1533-position model. The record is from RNAcentral.